UACGUAGGUGGCAAGCGUUGUCCGGAAUUAUUGGGCGUAAAGCGCGCGCAGGCGGUCCUUUAAGUCUGAUGUGAAAGCCCACGGCUCAACCGUGGAGGGUCAUUGGAAACUGGGAGACUUGAGUGCAGAAGAGGAUAGUGGAAUUCCAAGUGUAGCGGUGAAAUGCGUAGAGAUUUGGAGGAACACCAGUGGCGAAGGCGACUAUCUGGUCUGUAACUGACACUGAGGCGCGAAAGCGUGGGGAGCAAACAGG
This 253-nucleotide ribosomal RNA is filed under the name uncultured bacterium. Its description in RNAcentral is "partial 16S ribosomal RNA". It matches the Rfam family "Bacterial small subunit ribosomal RNA", at positions 524 to 776 of the family's 1533-position model. The record is from RNAcentral.